RNAcentral lists this small nuclear RNA (107 nucleotides) under Neogale vison (American mink). Lineage: Eukaryota; Metazoa; Chordata; Mammalia; Carnivora; Mustelidae. The record is from RNAcentral.
GUACUCGCUUCGGCAGCACAUAUACUAAAAUUGGAACGGUACAGAGAAGAUUAGCAUGGCCCCUGCGUAAGGAUGACACACAAAUUCGUGAAGCGUUCGAUAUUUUU